CCAUCAUUGUUAAAGAUAGACUAUAUGCUUAUGAGAGGAUGUUGUUGUUGUGAUGUCGAGCUCUUGCACCACUCCAGCGGUAUGCGUUGUGUCAGAGAUGCUCCAGAGAGGUUCUUUGAUGUCAUGCAAUGUUGCUCUGGCAUCAAUAUUCAUUGUAGUGCAGCAAGCUUGUGAAAUAAUCUCGCAAAUGUCGUGUUGAAAUGCCAACAAUUUUGACUCUAAGCAGUGCACAAACUCACCCAAAUGUUGAACGAGGUUCGUAAUGGUUGAAAUAGGAGGCUCAAUGUUUGGUGAUGGUGGUGGAGUGAAGUUGGAUAUAGGUGAGGUGAAAGUGGUAGAAGGACAUGGUAUGAUUGUCUAAAAUACAAAGACUAAUAUUAUUACACAAGCUAUUUUAAAACACUUAAUAACACUACUCCAAAAGUCCUUUUUACAACACUUAAGUAUAAGUGUAUUAAAAAAGUAUUACAGUAGACAAACAAAAAGCUGUAAAAUAAAUGAAGAAGCCUAAAAACCGCAAGUGAAAUUUCUAUAUUUUUUAGUAAAAAAUAAAAAAAAAUAAUGUUAAACACCUUUUCUUCUUUUAUUUUGUACCUCACCCAUCAAGCUUCCCUUCCACUCGCCUUCAUCUCAUUGUUGUCAUUUUCUUUGAUUUGUCUUCUAUCUAACUUCAAUCGCCUCUCCAUCUGGCAUCUGUUCCUCCUGCAAAGUCUAUUUUCUUCUUGAGAAAUAAGAGAAGGAAAGCCAUAAAAAAUAUAUAGUUUUGAAAUAUUCUAUCUAUUGCAUCUUGUAGGAGAAAAUGAAGAAUAACAAAAUCUGAUCGAUUUCUGUUCCUCUCGUAAAGUCUAUUUUUAUUUAUUUUUUUCUUCUUCAGUUUUGAAGCUAGGUGUGCUUAUAAUCAAGAAGUCAACAUACCCUUUGUUUGAGAAAAGUGUCAGAAGCUUUCUGUAAAAAGACAUUCCAAACACAAUCAGUUUUGCUAGCACCACAAUGCAUCUAAAAUACGAUACCGACAUGUACAAUCCCGUGGCCAAGAUGAAGCAGGCCAUGAAGGCCCAGGCGUCCAAGGCCAAGGCAUCGGUGAAGAAAGCCCCCAAUGGUGUGCACAAGAGCAAGGUGUUGGAUUUGAUCCUUGCAGGUUCGGUGCUGGAGGCGGAUGCUGUCGGGGAGGCUCCAAUCAAGAUCGCUCUUAUGACGGAAUAAUGAGAUUAUAUUUCUUUGAAGAAAAUGUGAGUAAUGCUCGUAGUUGAGGUCUUUGGAACCAAAUAAUUUAUUUCUUAACUUUGUACACGUCAUGUUGCAUAUUUAGUGAUGAUAGAAUUCUAAUUGAGUAAAAUUCAUCUUGUAAUAUGACUUUAGAAGCCUAAUAUAGACUAAAUAUUGUAUUUCUAUUCGAGUAAUUAAUAAUCUAUAUUAUCUUGUGUGGCUUCAACGAUA
Molecule: long non-coding RNA, 1437 nt
Organism: Humulus lupulus (European hop)
Lineage: Eukaryota; Viridiplantae; Streptophyta; Magnoliopsida; Rosales; Cannabaceae
Exons: 5
Source: RefSeq, a predicted model, not a curated record